UUAUUCCGACGCAAACUUUGCUAUGGCAGCUACUAGAGGACUACGAGUGCUUAAAACUCAAAGGACUUGGCGGCUAGUUAACUACCUAGGGGAAUAUGCGCCUUAAUCCGAUGAUCCCCGUUGAAUCUUACUGUACCUCGAAGAAGAACAGCUGGUGUAUUGCCGUCGUCAGCCUGUUGUUUGAGCAAAUAGAAACAGGCCCAAGGGACUUAGGGACCACGAAGUCAGGUCGAAAUGCCGCCAAUGGUGCUAGGGAGUGGGUGUUACAAUUCUUAUUUAGAUAUUUCGGAUCCUGUGAAAUUGAAGCUGAACUUAGGAGUAAGGGAAGAUUAAUAUGCUCCCCUGAACUGAGACUAACUUGUGCACAAACCGCCCGUCGCUCUCGCCAGGGGAGAU
This 396-nucleotide ribosomal RNA is filed under the name Laevichlamys multisquamata. RNAcentral describes it as "partial 12S ribosomal RNA". It matches the Rfam family "Bacterial small subunit ribosomal RNA", at positions 875 to 1416 of the family's 1533-position model. The record is from RNAcentral. Lineage: Eukaryota; Metazoa; Mollusca; Bivalvia; Pectinida; Pectinidae.